This is a long non-coding RNA of Brassica napus (rape), 1976 nucleotides long. RefSeq lists it as uncharacterized. The record is from RefSeq and is a predicted model, not a curated record. NCBI's taxonomy places the organism in Eukaryota, Viridiplantae, Streptophyta, Magnoliopsida, Brassicales, Brassicaceae. The transcript has 6 exons.
UUAAUCUCUUCUGGUGCUGCCACGUAAGCUUCCACAUGGGUAAGUCGCUUGAUCUCGCGCCAACACGUGUCCAAUGAGACCAAAGCGCUGCGUUUCACUAACGCGUUCCAUGAUGGGCUUUCUCCGUCUGAUGCAUGUUGGGCUCUGAGUAAUGAUAGAGAACUGCGUAUCAUCUCUCCUUUCUUCCGGCGGCGACGCCUGAGUUUCUUUCACUGGUUGAAACGGACGGAGCUAUUACUUCGUCUUUAUUGCAAUUGAAUCCAUCGCCCACUAUGAGUCUUCAAAGCACCGUUCGUAUCUCCUGUGGAUCUGUAUAAAUAUAGUUUUUCUCUCCGACUUGAAGACUGGCAAGUGCUCUUCCAGCUACGAACAUGUUUUUGUAAUAUCUAGAUGGUUUGCUUAGGCUUAUUGGAUUUGUGUUCUAUAGAUCGAUGUCGGUUUAUUCAAGUAGCAUACUAAUAUCAGUUCGGUGAAGAGCACCGUAAGUGACCAUAAAAAUCGUGUCAUGGUGACACUCAAACUGGAAAAUGAUGAGUCUGUUACUCUUAGUCUAUUCGACUGUCAAACCGUUUCGUUCCACAAGAAGCUUGAAAGCAUGCGUGAUGAUCCAAAGGUGGUUGUUGACACGAACAUUAAUCCGAAGAUGAUUGGAGGUCGUUUGUUCCUGAACGCAACAUCAAGAAAGCAUGUUCAUUUUGAUAAGGAAACCAAUGCAGAGAUCUGUCUUCUAUAGAUUGGUGGUUAGGGACACUGGUCUUCCAUCUGCUGCACCACUGCUAAGAAAGGCACAACUAUCCUGGAGGUGAUAUAUGCCUUCUACCACAUGUACCGCCUGCAACUGCUCAGAUGGUGAGAAAGCAGCUAUUGACCAGAUCACCGGAGGUGAUGACAUCCUCUCAAACCACCCUGGGGUAUGGGAUGCAACAGACGCUGCUGAGCAGCCCACUUCUGGCGGAAGCAAUGCAGAGGAACAUCUGGUUCCAGCAGGAGGAAACACACUAAAAAGCACAUAUCUCCAGUUGUUGUUAUGCUUUCGUAAAUGAACACCCUCUCUUUGUCCUCUUGAUCUGCUGUUCUGAGUACUCUCUGAUCUGAGUUUCUUUUGUUUAUUUAGACCAGUUGAAGUCGAGUUCUUCUGAUGGUAAAAUCAGGAACCUAGGGAGAGUGAGAAACUACAUUGCCUUAUACCAGCACCUAAAGCAUAUGUUACACAUCUCUAUUGGCCCAAGAGUAUAGAUUAUGUGCCUUAUGCUAAUGCCCCGUAGAAGGCUAUUCAGAAAUGUAUUUAGUAUGAGAUGGACGUUUUUAGAUUCCUUGGUGGUGGAACUCAUUUCCCUUAAGGUGGUAGGAUUGCUUUGGACAAUGGUUGUGAGGUUAUGUCUUAUGUUUGCUUCUGUUUAUAUUCUUUGAGUCUCAUAUUCUUCAUUAGUGACGUUGUGGGAUCAUAUGUUUGUAGUUACUUUAUUUCGGUUUCACCACACGUGAAUUACCUGCUGAGAAGAUGUAUUUGGCUUUAAAAGUAGUUCUAUUAUGAUAAUGAUUAUAUGUUUGAAUAUUGCAUACAUGAAGGGACGAAGAUUCUAGACAUCUUCGAAUGGUCAAACAACAUUGCCGCCGUUGAUAAGUUGUGGCUGCAACUGAAGCGGUCGUUGCGUGAGGUCCUGAUCGUUAAGAGGAAAUCAUAUGGCACGAGCAUGAUGUUUCUCAUGCCACCACGAGCAUGCGAGCUCAAGGAACUUCAGAAAAGAUGCACUAAACGUUUUUACUAUAAGGAGAUGGAGAAGUUUUUGCAGUUGGUGUACCGUGUCUAGAGCAAAGCUUCACGUUUUUAUUUAUUUUCCGUUUUCCCUUUCAGUCACGUCUCAUUACGUUCAGUUUCCUUUUAGUUUUUUGCAUUUUAUGCAUGAAUAUUGUCGCUGGUUUGUAUACAUCACUUGAAGCUUCUAUCUGUUAUUUUGUCUUAAUUUUGAGAACUA